This 2477-nucleotide unclassified non-coding RNA is filed under the name Hevea brasiliensis (rubber tree). Lineage: Eukaryota; Viridiplantae; Streptophyta; Magnoliopsida; Malpighiales; Euphorbiaceae. The record is from RNAcentral.
CUCUAGUCCUUGUUUCACUCUUUCUUUUCUGUCCCUUUUUUCUCCACCUUUCCUUUUCUCUCACAUAUAUGCUGUUUGGUCAUUUCUCUCUCACCUUAUAGUCCACACACAACUAUACUCUCUCACUGUUCUCUUUCCUGUUCAGAUAGUGUAGAAUGAGGGUCUAUUGAAAAGCUCCUCAAAAGCCCUCAGCUUUUAUUUCUUUGUCUGCCAUUAAAAAUUGUCUUAAAUACAAUGCUCCUAUCUUGUUCUUCCCAUUCCCACUUCUCUUGCUUCAAGCUAUCUCUCUUCUAAAGCGUCUCUCUUUCUCUCUCGAUCAAUAUUCUUGCCAUUUCCCGGUGGUCUUCUUUGUUAAAUAAUUUUUCUCUUUCUUUCUUUCUUUUCCAUCUGUUUCUUUCCUUCGCCUCGUCGAAGUUUCUAUGCAGAUGGGUUGAUUUUUCUUGGCUAUAAGCUCUUCUUGAAAUAGUCCUUCGCCAGGAAUUUCUAUUAUACAAACUCAUGUAAACUCUGGUUUUAAAGGACGGAAAACGAAGGAAAACCUGUUGUGAGAAACUGUGGGAAAGUCGUAAAAAUAUCAUCUUUUCCUGUAUAAUCUGCAAAAGACAAUCUGGGUUUUACUAUUCCCUCCAUUUUAUAUCUAGGCAUUCUUUAAAACCUACCAAAACCCACAACAAAACCUAAAAAUGAUCAGUAUCACUGACCUCUACCAUGUUCUUACGGCUGUGGUGCCACUUUAUGUGGCCAUGUUCUUAGCCUAUGGCUCAGUGAAAUGGUGGAAGAUCUUUACUCCUGACCAGUGUUCAGGGAUCAACAGAUUCGUUGCUCUAUUUGCAGUGCCUUUGCUUUCUUUUCACUUUAUCUCCACUAAUAAUCCCUAUGACAUGAAUUACAGGUUCAUUGCAGCAGACACUUUCCAAAAAGUCAUAGUGCUGCUGGUUUUGGCCAUCUGGUCCAGAACUAGCUCUAGAGGCUCCCUUGAAUGGUCCAUCACUCUCUUUUCUCUCUCCACUCUCCCAAACACUCUGGUUAUGGGCAUCCCUUUGUUAAAGGGUAUGUAUGGGGACAACUCAGGGACCCUUAUGGUCCAAAUAGUUGUCCUUCAAUGCAUAAUAUGGUACACGUUGAUGCUCUUUCUAUUUGAAUAUAGAGGAGCUAGAAUCUUGAUUGGCGAACAGUUUCCUGACACUGCUGGCUCUAUAAUCUCCUUCAGAGUUGAUUCCGAUAUAAUUUCUUUGGAUGGUAGAGAGCCAUUGCAAACUGAAGCAGAGGUUGGCGAUGAUGGCAAGCUCCAUGUUACAGUGAGGAAAUCAACUAGCUCGAGAUCAGAAAUCUUCUCUCGCAGAUCCUAUGGUCCAAAUUCAGGGCUAUCAUUGACUCCUAGGCCAUCCAAUCUAACCAAUGCGGAGAUAUAUUCCCUCCAAUCUUCAAGAAAUCCAACCCCAAGAGGCUCAAGCUUUAACCACACUGAUUUUUAUUCAAUGGUGAAUGGCAAAAAUGCAAACAAUGUGAGUCCUAGACAAUCCAACUUUGGUAACUUGCCAUUUGAUGAAGAAAAUGGAGGAAUUGGAGUAUUUGGAAACGUUUCAAGAGCAAAUGGAAAUGCAUAUCCUGCGCCACCUAAUGCUGGGAUAUUCUCUCCCGGAGCCAAGAAGAAGGCAAAUGGGACCGAUAAUGGCAAGGACUUGCACAUGUUUGUUUGGAGUUCUAGUGCUUCACCGGUAUCCGAAGGUGGGAUUCAUGUCUUCAGGGGAGGAGGGGAUUAUGCCAAUGACCUUGGUGGUGCACCUCACCAGAAAGAUUAUGAUGAGUUUGGUCGGGAUGAGUUCAGCUUUGGAAACAGACAGGUAGCCAAUGGGGUGGACCGGGAUGGUCCGGUACUUUCCAAGCUUGGUUCAAGCUCCACAGCAGAGCUCCACCCAAAGACUGGUGCUAAUGGUGAAUCCAAGCCCACUGCCAUGCCACCUGCUAGUGUUAUGACAAGACUCAUUCUCAUUAUGGUUUGGAGAAAACUUAUAAGGAAUCCCAAUACUUAUUCCAGCCUCAUUGGCCUUACCUGGUCUCUUGUUUCUUUCAAAUGGCACGUAGAGAUGCCUGCAAUCAUUGCUCGUUCCAUAUCUAUCCUAUCUGAUGCUGGUCUUGGAAUGGCUAUGUUUAGUCUUGGUUUGUUCAUGGCAUUACAGCCAAGGAUCAUUGCUUGUGGAAACUCAAUCGCAGCAUUCGCAAUGGCUGUUAGAUUCCUCACUGGUCCUGCAGUUAUGGCUGUUUCUUCAAUUGCUGUUGGACUAAGGGGAACUCUGUUGCACAUUGCCAUAGUGCAGGUUAGAACACAAAAAAAGAAGUAUAUAAAUACAAUGUUUAGCGAAUAUUAUCAACAUAUUCAAAUGCUUGGACUGCUUUUUUCCCAGUUGAUGACAGAAUAUUCAUUAUGUUUGAAUUUUCAGGCAGCUCUUCCACAAGGAAUUGUCCCCUUUGUCUUU